UUUCUGGUAUGGCGCUGGAAAGUAUUGAUACCGAUAAUCUACUGCACGGGGGUCCAGCAGACCUGGUAAAGACGGGGAGCGAGAGAGAAAAAGAUUACGGUAAGGCAAGAUGAACGUCCCCUAUCAAUCGGCGCCCACCGAGCUGGGGAAUUGGAAGCUGAUUGCACGAACGGUCACAUGCGUACGCAAUGCAUGCGUGCAUGUCAGUUGCACAGCAUGUUUUCUUGCGGAAGAAAAAGUGUCUAGGCAGCGGAAUCAUCUCCCUUCCUCCCUGCAUUCCGCCUUUUUUCUUCCCUGCGUGGCAUGUCGGCAACACGGGUAAAGAGGCAGCAACUUAGAUGGGCGUUUUGGUUGGGGGGUUAAAUGAUGGAAGCUGCACCCAACACACAGCUUUGGCCUUUUGUUGGGUUUCCCCUUUUGUUGGCUCCUCCUGUUGUGCGCCGUGUUGCGCUGGGUCCUGGCCGUCGUUCCGUUGGGAUAGAAGCUGCGUGUAGCAACACUUACUGGCCGUCUCCUGGACUAUGCUACCUCUGCCCGGGCCGCAACAGUUCCUGCAACCCCCCAGUAUCUUUCAGUAACUUGCUUAGACACAUAGGCAUUUACCCCCGGGCAC
Molecule: long non-coding RNA, 613 nt
Filed under: Volvox carteri
Lineage: Eukaryota; Viridiplantae; Chlorophyta; Chlorophyceae; Chlamydomonadales; Volvocaceae
Description: long non-coding RNA (VCAR_LNC003591)
Source: RNAcentral